Molecule: long non-coding RNA, 1240 nt
Filed under: Ailuropoda melanoleuca (giant panda)
Lineage: Eukaryota; Metazoa; Chordata; Mammalia; Carnivora; Ursidae
Description: lncRNA (ENSAMEG00000026775.1)
Source: RNAcentral
UUGUAUAUACUGACCUUGUUCCUACAACAUUCUAAACUCACAUAUUAGUAACUAAAAACAUUGAUUUUUUUAUAGAUGUUAUCACUUUGAACCUUACUGGAAAGUCACAAGGACCCUCAAAAGGGAAUAAAGACAGACUUUGUAUCUCUAAAAUAUCACCACUGUCGUCUUCUUCCUGGUGACUUUGAUAACUACACUGGCCACAAUUUUAGCAGUCAAAAAACACAAAUCUUCCACUGAACGUAUGUCGUGCUUGAAUGGCUGGAUUGGCUACCUGGGAAAGUGCUUCUAUUUUUCUGAAAAUACAAGAACCUGGGCAGCAAGCCAGAACUUCUGUGCCCCUCAUGCAGCCACUCUUGCUGUCUUCAACACCACAAAAGAACUGGAUUUCCUGAAACAAUAUUCUAACCAUUCUCAGUAUUGGAUUGGAUUGAGUUGAGGACCAGGACAGACCUGGAAGUGGAUAGAUGGAACCAUAUACGGUGGUUGGUAAGUCCUGGGUAUAUAAUUUAUACACCUAAGGCCUGGGCUCUGAGUCCUCUGCCACCACAGAGAGAUCUGAGUUACAAUCCAUACACACCAUUCUCCUGGAAGCUUCCUUUGUGGUGGAGAAUAAAAUGAGCCCAGAGAAAAGCGGUAAUGUAAAUAUUAUUGUACAAAGUAUUUAAUACCUACAAUAUUCCAAACAAUGCUUUAUUAUCAUGAUCUCAUUUGACCUGCACAACAACUGCGGAAAGUAGGUAUAGUUAUCUCCACUUUACUUGAUGUUCAAAGAUGUAAAUACCUACAGUAUUUUACAACACAUAUUUAAAUGUAUUUGGAAAUAAAUCCUGCACUUCUCCAUCAUAUAGGUUAUAGAUUUUUCAAGUUUAUAAAGCCACAUUUUAGGUCAAAGCAUACGAAUUCAUUUUGCUUUAUAUUCAAACACUGCAGUGUUGGGUUACAGUAAAAGCUCACAGCAGAGGAAAUUUUUUUCUCAAAUUGUUCCAGCCCAUGCUCACCCAAUCCAUUGCCUUUUAUUUUUCUUUCUGUGUUUUGUUUCAGGUUUAAAAUAAUUGGAAUUGGAGAAUGCGCCUAUCUACACAAAAUUGGAAUUAGCAGUGCCAGUUCGCACUUGGUUAGAAAAUGGAUUUGCAGCAAACCAGACCCAUGUAUACCCAGAAGUUAAGACAUCAUAGAUCUAAGAUAUUUUACACAAAAUGUAGUUUUUAUUCCUUCUAAAAGGAAUAUAUUAUAUUAA